This 809-nucleotide long non-coding RNA is filed under the name Lactuca sativa (garden lettuce). RNAcentral's name for it is "long non-coding RNA (LSAT_LNC001957)". Lineage: Eukaryota; Viridiplantae; Streptophyta; Magnoliopsida; Asterales; Asteraceae. The record is from RNAcentral.
AUGAGGAUGGUGAUGGCGAUGGCGACUGAAAGGUUCACGAGGGGCUCACAGAUGACACAACGAUUCGUCGAUCGAUUGCAAAGUGGUGGCUGUCUCGGGGGUUCGACUUGAGCGAAGCCACGCAGGUGCGAAGAAGCAGCGGGGCUGCGUUCUUGCUUCUCCGUCGAUAGGGUGCGAAGGAAAAAAGGGCAUCUUCGGGGUUGACGAAGCCGAAGGAAAAGAAAGAGGGGAAGCAGCGAGGAUUUAGGUCCGACGAUUUCUCCCUGGCUCGUGCGUCUUGUAGCCGACAGAAGUCAAGGAGGUUACAUCUCCGGAGCUUGGUUCAUCGGAGAGGCGAGAUGUCCGAAAGAAGGUAGAAAAGGGCGAAAGCAUCGUGCUUAGUCAGCGAGGAAAAAGAGAGCAACCGACGCCGACAGGUCUUCAUCUCUGAUUUGGGUCGAUCUCUUCGCUUGAUCAGAAAGGAAAGACGAAGGCAUCAACUAUCAAUAACAGGUAAGGGUUUCUACUUUUUUUUUUAUUGUUCUUGACAAAAUUGAUUUAAUGAACUGGGAUGUUUGAUAGGGAAAAUGAACUAGAUUCAGAUUUUUUUUUAUUGUUUCAUUUGGCAGAAAUUUUGAAGAAGAGAAAGAAAAUUUUUUCCUUUUGUGUUCAUGUAUCUUGGUGAAUACGAAGAAGUAGGCAGGAACCAGAAAUAUAUAGGUGUUUGCGUGUUAGAAUUUUUAACAUUGUACAUGUUUUGUUUGAGUGAUUAGUAGGUGGAGUGCUGUAAGGGAAAGAAAACAUAAACGUGUGUUCUUGUUGCUUGACAG